UCAAAGAUUAAGCCAUGCAAGUGAAAGUAUAUGCAUAUUUUAUAUGUAGAAACUGCGAACGGCUCAUUAAAACAGUUAUAAUCUACUUGACAUUUUUUCUAUAAGGAUAACUACGGAAAAGCUGUAGCUAAUACUUGCUUUAGCACUCUUGAUUAAGUUCUUGAGUGUGUACUUGUUAAGCCUUUUAAGAAAAAAGUUAUUAACUUAAGGAAUUAUAACAAAGAAGCAACACGUAAAUGGAUUUUCCAUUUUUUAGUGUGUAUCAAUCGAGUUUCUGACCUAUCAGCUUUUGAUGUUAGGGUAUUGGCCUAACAUGGCUAUGACGGGUAACGGGGAAUUAGAGUUCGAUUCCGGAGAGGGAGCCUGAGAAAUAGCUACCACAUCUAAGGAAGGCAGCAGGCGCGUAAAUUACCCAAUUCUAAAGAAGAGAGGUAGUGACAAGAAAUAACAAUACAAGGCCAAUCUGGCUUUGUAAUUGGAAUGAUGGGAAUUUAAAACCUUCCCAAAACUCAAUUGGAGGGCAAGUCUGGUGCCAGCAGCCGCGGUAAUUCCAGCUCCAAUAGCGUAUAUUAAAAUUGUUGCAGUUAAAACGCUCGUAGUUGAAUUUCAAAGAAUCGAUAUUUUAAGUAGCACUUUGUAGAUUAAUCCACAUAACUGAUACUACGUAUCGACUUUGUGAGCAUUUUUCUACUUAUGUGUUCUUUUAAUUAAAAUGAUUCUUUUUAAGAUCUUUCUUUUUUGCUUCGGCAUUUUAGGAGAUCUUGUUACUUUGAGUAAAUUAGAGUGUUCAAAGCAAACAGAUUAUAGCAUCUUUAUGCGUUUGAAUACUAUAGCAUGGAAUAACAAAAUUGAACAAGUCAGAAUUUUGUUCUUUUUUCUUAUUUUGGCUUAGUUACGAUUAAUAGGAGUAGCUUGGGGGCAUUUGUAUUCAGAUGUCAGAGGUGAAAUUCUUAGAUUUUCUGGAGACAAACAACUGCGAAAGCAUUUGCCUAAAAUACUUCCAUUAAUCAAGAACGAAAGUUAAGGGAGUGAAGACGAUCAGAUACCGUCGUAAUCUUAACCAUAAACUAUGCCGACUAGGCUUUGGAUGAAAGAUUUUAAAAUAAGAGUUUUUUCUCUGAGGAGUUAAAACUCUUAGAUUGCUUCCUUCAGUGCCUUAUGAGAAAUCAAAGUCUUUGGGUUCUGGGGCGAGUAUUCGCGCAAGCGAGAAAGUUAAAAGAAUUGACGGAAGGGCACCACCAGGCGUGGAGCUUGCGGCUUAAUUUGACUCAACACGGGAAAACUCACUAGUUUAAGACAAGAGUAGGAUUGACAGAUUAAUAGCUCUUUCUUGAUUUCUUGGAUGGUGAUGCAUGGCCGUUUUUAGUUCGUGAAUAUGAUUUGUCUGGUUAAUUCCGAUAACGAACGAGAUCUUAACCUGCUAAUUAGCGGCAAAUACGAUAUAUUCUUAUGUGGAAUUGAAUAUAGUUGAUUUGCUUAUUUUGAAGAAAAUAUUGGGAUACGUAAAUGUAUCCCUUUCCCUUUUCUACUUAAUUUGCUUAUCAUACUAUUUCUUUUUUGCGUAAGAAUGUAUUUGCUUGAUUGUAAAGCUUCUUAGAGGAACGAUGUGUGUCUAACACAAGGGAGUUUAAGGCAACAACAGG
RNAcentral lists this ribosomal RNA (1643 nucleotides) under Plasmodium inui. RNAcentral's name for it is "SSU rRNA". It matches the Rfam family "Eukaryotic small subunit ribosomal RNA", at positions 37 to 1460 of the family's 1831-position model. The record is from RNAcentral. Lineage: Eukaryota; Apicomplexa; Aconoidasida; Haemosporida; Plasmodiidae.